Molecule: ribosomal RNA, 161 nt
Filed under: Mallotus rufidulus
Lineage: Eukaryota; Viridiplantae; Streptophyta; Magnoliopsida; Malpighiales; Euphorbiaceae
Description: 5.8S ribosomal RNA
Rfam family: 5.8S ribosomal RNA
About the family: 5.8S ribosomal RNA (5.8S rRNA) is a component of the large subunit of the eukaryotic ribosome.
Source: RNAcentral
AACGACUCUCGGCAACGGAUAUCUCGGCUCUCGCAUCGAUGAAGAACGCAGCAAAAUGCGAUACUUGGUGUGAAUUGCAGAAUCCCGUGAAUCAUCGAGUUUUUGAACGCAAGUUGCGCCCGAAGCCUCCGGCCAAGGGCACGUCUGCCUGGGUGUCACGC